AUUGACGGGGGCCCGCACAAGCGGCGGAGCAUGCGGAUUAAUUCGAUGCAACGCGAAGAACCUUACCAAGGCUUGACAUAUACUGGACUCCCCUAGAGAUAGGGUUUCCCUUCGGGGCUGGUAUACAGGUGGUGCAUGGUUGUCGUCAGCUCGUGUCGUGAGAUGUUGGGUUAAGUCCCGCAACGAGCGCAACCCUCGUUCUAUGUUGCCAGCACGUGAUGGUGGGGACUCAUAGGAGACUGCCGG
RNAcentral lists this ribosomal RNA (246 nucleotides) under Rothia terrae. Its description in RNAcentral is "partial 16S ribosomal RNA". It matches the Rfam family "Bacterial small subunit ribosomal RNA", at positions 909 to 1155 of the family's 1533-position model. The record is from RNAcentral. Lineage: Bacteria; Bacillati; Actinomycetota; Actinomycetes; Micrococcales; Micrococcaceae.